GACAUCCCGGAGACCUUAGGAACUAGGGGUGCUUCCAUCUGGAAGAAUCUGGAGACAGGUGCUGCAUGGCUGUCGUCAGCUCGUGUCGUGAGAUGUUGGGUUAAGUCCCGCAACGAGCGCAACCCUUGCCUUUAGUUGCCAGCAGUUCGGCUGGGCACUCUAAAGGGACUGCCGGUGUUAAACCGGAGGAAGGUGGGGAUGACGUCAAGUCCUCAUGGCCUUUAUGACCAGGGCUACACACGUACUACAAUGGCCGAUACAAAGGGCAGCGACACUGCGAGGUGAAGCCAAUCCCGUAAAAUCGGUCUCAGUCCGGAUUGGAGUCUGCAACUCGACUCCAUGAAGUUGGAAUCGCUAGUAAUCGUGGAUCAGCAUGCCACGGUGAGUACGUUCCCGGGCCUC
Molecule: ribosomal RNA, 402 nt
Filed under: uncultured Desulfobulbus sp.
Lineage: Bacteria; Pseudomonadati; Thermodesulfobacteriota; Desulfobulbia; Desulfobulbales; Desulfobulbaceae
Description: bacterial SSU rRNA
Rfam family: Bacterial small subunit ribosomal RNA
Source: RNAcentral